UCAUUAGCGAGUUUUCAACUCCCAACCCUUGCGAACCGUACCCCGUUCUGUUCUCGUUGCUUCUGGCGGGAGGGGGGGCGCGUCCUUCUGGGCGCGCCUCUCUCCCAGGUCCCUUCGGGGCGCCCGCCAGCGGCCGCGAGCCGCCUGAACUUUAUUCAAACCGUAACUAAAACGUCUGAGAAACAAACAAAAACAGCCAAAACUUUCAACAACGGAUCUCUUGGCUCUGGCAUCGAUGAAGAACGCAGCGAAAUGCGAUACGUAAUGCGAAUUGCAGAAUUCAGCGAGUCAUCGAAUCUUUGAACGCACAUUGCGCCCGCCAGCAUUCUGGCGGGCAUGCCUGUCCGAGCGUCAUUUCCCCCCUCAGCACGCCCUUCUUGCAAGGGAGCGCUGGCGUUGGGGCUCCUCCGCCCUCUGUGGCGGCAGGGCCCUCAAAUCCAGUGGCGGGCCCGGCUGGUUGGCUCCGAGCGCAGUACCGAACGCAAGUUCUCUCUCUCGCUCUGCAGCCCCGGCCGGCGCCCUGCCGUCAAGCCGCGCAGGCGAACCCUCUCGGGGGCCGCCUCGCACUUUUUACAAGGUUGA
This 582-nucleotide ribosomal RNA is filed under the name Ophiostoma floccosum. Its description in RNAcentral is "eukaryotic LSU rRNA". The stretch from base 201 to 354 matches the Rfam family "5.8S ribosomal RNA". The record is from RNAcentral. Lineage: Eukaryota; Fungi; Ascomycota; Sordariomycetes; Ophiostomatales; Ophiostomataceae.